Non-coding RNA from Phascolarctos cinereus (koala), 323 nucleotides. Lineage: Eukaryota; Metazoa; Chordata; Mammalia; Diprotodontia; Phascolarctidae. The record is from RefSeq and is a predicted model, not a curated record.
GAUCCUCUGGAUGGCAUGCUCGCUGGUACCCUCACCAUUCUGGCUGCCUUCCUCUAGAUGAUCUCUGGCAUGUCUCUGUCCUCUCUUAAAGAUUGUAAUCAUGCUUUGGGGUCCUACCUUACAGGGAAGCAGGGGCACAGCAAACCUUGUUUGCCCACAUGAGCUAUCUGGGAUUGAUUGUCGUUUGCAAGCACCAUCCUCCAUGUCCUUUGCUCCUUUUCCCAAAGUCGUCUGGGUGUGACAGAGAGAUGCAGAGCUGGGUAGAGCUGCCCACAGAUGUCUUUGAGCUGUAAACAACAAUUAAUAAAGGGAUCUGACCUCCA